RNAcentral lists this ribosomal RNA (305 nucleotides) under uncultured bacterium. RNAcentral describes it as "partial 16S ribosomal RNA". It matches the Rfam family "Bacterial small subunit ribosomal RNA", at positions 334 to 655 of the family's 1533-position model. The record is from RNAcentral.
CAUUCCUACGGGGGGCAGCAGUGGGGAAUAUUGCACAAUGGGGGGAACCCUGAUGCAGCGACGCCGCGUGGGUGAAGGAGUGCUUCGGCAUGUAAAGCCCUAUCGGCAGGGAAGAAGCAAGACGGUACCUGACUAAGAAGCCCCGGCUAACUACGUGCCAGCAGCCGCGGUAAUACGUAGGGGGCGAGCGUUAUCCGGAUUCACUGGGGGUAAAGGGAGCGUAGACGGCCAUGCAAGCCAGGGGUGAAAGCCCGGGGCCCAACCCCGGGCCUGCCCUUGGAACUGCAUGGCUGGAGGGCGGGGGG